UGGGGAAUAUUGGACAAUGGGCGCAAGCCUGAUCCAGCCAUACCGCGUGGGUGAAGAAGGCCUUCGGGUUGUAAAGCCCUUUUGUUGGGAAAGAAAUCCUAUCGGUUAAUAACCGGUGGGGAUGACGGUACCCAAAGAAUAAGCACCGGCUAACUUCGUGCCAGCAGCCGCGGUAAUACGAAGGGUGCAAGCGUUACUCGGAAUUACUGGGCGUAAAGCGUGCGUAGGUGGUGGUUUAAGUCUGCUGUGAAAGCCCUGGGCUCAACCUGGGAAUUGCAGUGGAUACUGGAUCACUAGAGUGUGGUAGAGGGAUGCGGAAUUUCUGGUGUAGCAGUGAAAUGCGUAGAGAUCAGAAGGAACAUCCGUGGCGAAGGCGGCAUCCUGGGCCAACACUGACACUGAGGCACGAAAGCGUGGGGAGCAAACAGG
Molecule: ribosomal RNA, 429 nt
Filed under: uncultured bacterium
Lineage: Bacteria
Description: bacterial SSU rRNA
Rfam family: Bacterial small subunit ribosomal RNA
Source: RNAcentral